Molecule: ribosomal RNA, 447 nt
Filed under: uncultured soil bacterium
Lineage: Bacteria
Description: bacterial SSU rRNA
Rfam family: Bacterial small subunit ribosomal RNA
Source: RNAcentral
AGAACGAACGCUGGCGACAUGCCUAACACAUGCAAGUCGAACGAGACCUUCGGGUCUAGUGGCGCACGGGUGCGUAACGCGUGGGAAUCUGCCCUUGGGUUCGGGAUAACAGUUGGAAACGACUGCUAAUACCGGAUGAUGACUUCGGUCCAAAGAUUUAUCGCCCAGGGAUGAGCCCGCGUAGGAUUAGCUAGUUGGUGAGGUAAAGGCUCACCAAGGCGACGAUCCUUAGCUGGUCUGAGAGGAUGAUCAGCCACACUGGGACUGAGACACGGCCCAGACUCCUACGGGAGGCAGCAGUGGGGAAUAUUGGACAAUGGGCGAAAGCCUGAUCCAGCAAUGCCGCGUGAGUGAUGAAGGCCUUAGGGUUGUAAAGCUCUUUUACCCGGGAUGAUAAUGACAGUACCGGAGAAUAAGCCCCGGCUAACCUCCGCGCCAGCACGCCGC